AUUGAACGCUGGCGGCAGGCCUAACACAUGCAAGUCGAGCGAGAAAGGUCUUCGGACUGAGUACAGCGGCGGACGGGUGAGUAAUGCGCAGGAAUCUACCUGGUAGUGGGGGAUAACUCGGGGAAACUCGAACUAAUACCGCAUACGCCCUACGGGGAAAGCGGGGGACCGUUCGGGCCUCGCGCUAUCAGAUGAGCCUGCGUAGGAUUAGCUUGUUGGUGAGGUAAAGGCUCACCAAGGCGACGAUCCUUAGCUGGUCUGAGAGGAUGAUCAGCCACACUGGAACUGAGACACGGUCCAGACUCCUACGGGAGGCAGCAGUGGGGAAUAUUGCGCAAUGGGCGAAAGCCUGACGCAGCCAUGCCGCGUGUGUGAAGAAGGCCCUUGGGUUGUAAAGCACUUUCAAUUGGGAAGAAAGGUUGCGUGUUAAUAGCACGUAGCUGUGACGUUACCUUUAGAAGAAGCACCGGCUAACUCCGUACCAGCAGCCGCGGUAAAG
This 499-nucleotide ribosomal RNA is filed under the name uncultured bacterium. RNAcentral describes it as "bacterial SSU rRNA". It matches the Rfam family "Bacterial small subunit ribosomal RNA", at positions 30 to 525 of the family's 1533-position model. The record is from RNAcentral.